AAUAGAUACCCGGGUAGUCCACGCCGUAAACGAUGAGUGCUAAGUGUUAGAGGGUUUCCGCCCUUUAGUGCUGCAGCUAACGCAUUAAGCAUUCCGCCUGGGGAGUACGGCCGCAAGGCUGAAACUCAAAGGAAUUGACGGGGGCCCGCACAAGCGGUGGAGCAUGUGGUUUAAUUCGAAGCAACGCGAAGAACCUUACCAGGUCUUGACAUCCUCUGACAACCCUAGAGAUAGGGCUUUCCCCUUCGGGGGACAGAGUGACAGGUGGUGCAUGGUUGUCGUCAGCUCGUGUCGUGAGAUGUUGGGUUAAGUCCCGCAACGAGCGCAACCCUUGAUCUUAGUUGCCAGCAUUCAGUUGGGCACUCUAAGGUGACUGCCGGUGACAAACCGGAGGAAGGUGGGGAUGACGUCAAAUCAUCAUGCCCCUUAUGACCUGGGCUACACACGUGCUACAAUGGAUGGUACAAAGGGCUGCAAACCUGCGAGGGUAAGCGAAUCCCAUAAAGCCAUUCUCAGUUCGGAUUGCAGG
Molecule: ribosomal RNA, 529 nt
Filed under: uncultured bacterium
Lineage: Bacteria
Description: bacterial SSU rRNA
Rfam family: Bacterial small subunit ribosomal RNA
Source: RNAcentral